RNAcentral lists this ribosomal RNA (441 nucleotides) under uncultured bacterium. RNAcentral describes it as "partial 16S ribosomal RNA". It matches the Rfam family "Bacterial small subunit ribosomal RNA", at positions 338 to 795 of the family's 1533-position model. The record is from RNAcentral.
CCUACGGGGGGCAGCAGUGGGGGAUAUUGCACAAUGGGGGGAACCCUGAUGCAGCGACGCCGCGUGGGUGAAGGAGUGCUUCGGCAUGUAAAGCCCUAUCGGCAGGGAAGAAGCAAGACGGUACCUGACUAAGAAGCCCCGGCUAACUACGUGCCAGCAGCCGCGGUAAUACGUAGGGGGCGAGCGUUAUCCGGAUUCACUGGGUGUAAAGGGAGCGUAGACGGCCAUGCAAGCCAGGGGUGAAAGCCCGGGGCCCAACCCCGGGACUGCCCUUGGAACUGUGCGGCUAGAGUGCGGGAGGGGCAGGCGGAAUUCCUGGUGUAGCGGUGAAAUGCGUAGAUAUCAGAAGGAACACCGGCGGCGAAGGCGGCCUGCUGGACUGCGACUGACGUUGAGACUCGAAAGCGUGGGGAGCGAACAGGAUUAGAUACCCUUGUAGUC